GCCGUUAUAGUUUAAAGGAUAAAAUACUCGGUUGUGACCCGGGAGAUUUUGGUUUAAUUCCAAAUGAUGGCA
This 72-nucleotide transfer RNA is filed under the name Mimivirus LCMiAC01. Its description in RNAcentral is "tRNA-His". It matches the Rfam family "tRNA". From Rfam's summary of the family: Transfer RNA (tRNA) molecules are approximately 80 nucleotides in length. Their secondary structure includes four short double-helical elements and three loops (D, anti-codon, and T loops). The record is from RNAcentral. Lineage: Varidnaviria; Bamfordvirae; Nucleocytoviricota; Megaviricetes; Imitervirales; Mimiviridae.